CUGGUCUCAAACUCCUGAAAUAUCCAGAAAUACUGUUUUCUUUACAAAUUGUUUGCUACUAUUUAGAGUCAACUACAGAAAUAUUUUUUUGUGUAAAUAAUGUGAUGAGAAAUUUAAAUCAUUUCACAGAAAAUGCCCUUAUUCACCUUUCCUAUUUUACCUACGUUUUUGGUAAGAAUUUUGUAGAAAUUCAGAGGAGCUCUUAAUCAUCUACAAUGAAGGCAUUCAUGGAGAAUUUACUUUUGAGGUGGACUUUGAAAGAUGAAUAGAAUUUUCACACAUAAAGAUGAAGUAAUAGAAGAAAAACCUUGAACAAAGAGUGUACCAAGAAAGAGACAACAUAUUUUCUGUAAAAUAUGACUCAUAUUGGAAAGUGGUUAGCCUUAGCACCGAGAAGAUUGGCUCAUGGUCAUGUAGCCUAUCUCCCAGAUGGAAGUCUAAUGUCUUGACAAUUGGUCAAUAAAAAGAUAAACUUGCUGAAGAUUUUAGUGCAAUCGAGUGAAAGCUGUACUAAUAAAGACAGAAAUUAUCUCACAUGAAAGGAGAGAUGGGAUGUAUACAAACUUUAAAUAUGGUAGGCAAGGGAAAAGAAAUCAUAAAAAUACAUAUGAGUAAGUGUGGAGAAUUGCCAUGCUAUAAAAAUUGUGAUUUUUUAAUGAUUUGGGUUUUGGGUGAUUAUUGAUUAGAUAUUCUUCUAACUUUGGUUGACUCAUUUUCUAGGCAAUGUUAGGAUAUACAGGUUAAAAUGUCAGGUAGAAAAUGAAAAUAGGGGGUUGCAGAUAUGGAGUUAAGAAUACUUCAAAUAAUAGGCUAGUUUAAAGCCCUGGAAAUAGAAAUGUUAAAUAAAAAGAUUGGGGAAAAAAGGUUAAAGGCAUAAUUCUGGAAAAUACUCACUUUUUGGAGCAGAAGAAAGAUGAAGAACUAACAAACAAGCCAAUGGUGGAAAUACUACUAGAGUUUGACAUGUCAGAGAAAUCAUAGAGGAAAAUGUUUUAAGUGAGAGGCUGAAUUUAACAAGCUAUAGAGAUAUCGGGAAAUAGUGUAAAGAAUAUGCACAUACAUUUUUAUUACUUUAGUAAGUAAAACUGUUCAGGCAAUUUGACAUUUAUUGAAUAAAGAAAAGCAGAAAUUUAACAAUAAGAACACAAGAAGAUAAAAUGUAGAAAAGUUAGAAUUAUAUGCUCACCUCAGAGUAAUAUAUGCCAGUGUUUCUGGUGACCAAAUAAAUAUUAAUGCAUUUCUUCCACACGAAACUAUGGAGGACAGUUUACGUUUCUGAUAUCCAUGACAUACAGGUCAUACUUUAUUAUUAAUUGAUACGAUAUUUAAAAUAUUGGGAAGAAAUUCCUUUCCUUAUGAAGAAGAAAUCCCUAGAUGAAACUAAUGUAAGGAGCCAGACGGUAUGAAUACCUCUGCAAUUGAUGAAGUUAAGGAUUUACUAUUAAAGUAUGAUAAAGAAAUAGAAGGUGCAUGAAAGAACCCAGAUAUUGCGGAAGUAAUUCAUGUAAUCAUUACCUUUUGAAGCCACAUGAUGUCGCUGUCUACUAAGAAGUUCUGGUUAGCCAAGGUUCAAAGUCGUUCCUCUGACAGCAUCCGUCUCUAAAGUCUGAACAAUGGGAGAUGCAGCGGAAUUGAAUUAAAAGACGCCGGAAAGUACAGUCGUUCAUCUUCAUAUUAAGAUAAGAUUUUCUAAUAGGAAACGACUAUUUAACAUGGUUUGUCACUGGCGAGGAGACCUGGGAUCCCGGCGACUACUACUCUCGCUUCUGCUCCUCGCAGCCUGGAAGGCGGGGAGCGGCCAGCUCCACUACUUUGUCUCCGAGGAGGCCAAACACGGCACCUUCGUGGGCCGCAUCGCGCAGGACCUGGGACUGGAGCUGGCGGAGCUGGUGCCGCGCCUGUUCCGGGUGGCGUCCAAAACACACGGGGACCUUCUGGAGGUAAAUCUGCAGAAUGGCAUUUUGUUUGUGAAUUCUCGAAUAGACCGCGAGGAGCUGUGCGGGAGGAGCGCGGAGUGCAGCAUCCACCUGGAGGUGAUAGUGGACAGGCCACUGCAGGUUUUCCAUGUGGACGUGGAAGUGAAGGACAUUAACGACAACCCGCCAGUGUUCCCGGUAAAAGAGCAAAAGCUAUUUGUUUCAGAAUCCAGAAUGCCAGACUCUCGGUUUCCGCUAGAGAGCGCGUCUGAUGCAGAUGUUGGAGCUAACUCCGUGUUAACUUAUAGGCUUAGCUCUCAUGAUUACUUCAUGCUAGAUGUGAAUUCAAAGAACAAUGAGAAUAAACUGGUUGAGCUCGUAUUAAGAAAAUCCUUGGACAGAGAGGACGCUCCUGCACACAACUUAUUCCUGACAGCCACAGAUGGCGGCAAACCUGAGCUUACAGGCAGUGUUCACCUGCUGGUCACAGUGCUGGAUGUGAAUGAUAAUGCUCCCACUUUCGAGCAGCCUGAAUACGAAGUAAGAAUAUUCGAAAACGCAGACAACGGAACAACAGUUAUCAGACUGAAUGCUUCUGAUCGGGAUGAAGGAGCGAAUGGGGCCAUUUCAUACUCUUUUAAUAGCCUUGUUGCAACUAUGGUUAUUGACCACUUUAGCAUAGAUCGAAAUACAGGAGAAAUAGUGAUUCGGGGUAAUUUGGAUUUUGAACAAGUAAAUUUAUAUAAAAUCCGCAUUGACGCAACGGACAAAGGCCAUCCUCCCAUGGUGGGUCAUUGCACCGUUUUAGUGAGAAUUUUGGAUAAAAAUGAUAACGUCCCUGAGAUAACAUUGACUUCCUUAUCCUUGCCUGUACGUGAAGACGCUCAAUUCGGUACUGUCAUCGCCCUAAUUAGCGUGAACGACCUUGACUCAGGUGUCAACGGGCAGGUGACCUGCUCCUUGACGCCCCAUGUCCCCUUCAAGCUGGUGUCCACCUUCAAGAAUUACUACUCAUUGGUGCUGGACAGCGCCCUGGACCGCGAGAACGUGUCAGCCUAUGAGCUGGUGGUGACCGCACGGGACGGGGGCUCGCCUUCGCUGUGGGCCACGGCCAGCGUGUCUGUGGGUGUGGCCGACGUGAACGACAACGCGCCGGCGUUCACGCAGUCCGAGUACACGGUGUUCGUGAAGGAGAACAACCCACCGGGCUGCCACAUCUUCACAGUGUCGGCGGGGGACGUGGAUGCGCAGGAGAACGCGCUGGUGUCCUACUCGCUGGUGGAGCGGCGGGUGGGCGAGCGCGCGCUGUCGAGCUACGUGUCAGUGCACGCGCAGAGCGGCAAGGUGUACGCUCUGCAGCCACUGGACCACGAGGAGCUGGAGCUGCUGCAGUUCCAGGUGAGCGCGCGAGACGCAGGCGUGCCGCCUCUGGGCAGUAACGUGACGCUGCAGGUAUUCGUGCUGGACGAGAAUGACAACGCGCCGGUGCUGCUGGCGCCUCGGGUGGGUGGCACUGGUGGUGCAGUGAGCGAGCUGGUGCCGCGGUUGGUGGGUGAGGGCCACGUGGUAGCAAAGGUGCGCGCGGUGGACCCCGACUCGGGCUACAAUGCGUGGCUUUCGUAUGAGCUGCAGCUAGCGGCAAGCAGCGCUCGGUUCCCGUUCCGUGUGGGGCUGUACACGGGAGAGAUUAGCACGACUCGUGCCCUGGAAGAAGCGGACUCUCCGCGCCACCGCCUGCUGGUGAUAGUGAAGGAUCAUGGUGAGCCGGCGCUGAUGGCCACGGCCACCGUGCUGGUGUCGCUGGUGGAGAGCGGCCAGGCUCCAAAGGCGUCUUCGAGGCCGUCGACUGGCGCUCUGGGUCCCGAAGCGGCGCUGGUGGAUGUCAACGUGUACCUGAUCAUCGCCAUCUGCGCGGUAUCUAGCCUUCUGGUGCUCACGCUGCUACUGUAUACUGCGCUGCGGUGCUCAGCUCCGCCCACUGAGGGUGGGUGCCCGGCGGGGACCCACCCCGCCGGGUCCAGUGCGGUGGGGAGCUGGUCAUACUCGCAGCAACAGCGGCAGAGGGUGUGCUCUGGUGAGGGGCCACUGAAGACGGACCUCAUGGCCUUCAGCCCCAGCCUUCCUCCUGAUCUGGGAUCAGUUGAUGUAGGCGAACAGCAAGGUUUAAAUGUUGAUCAUGGCCUCAAAGUAAGUCCAUUUAAAUUUAGAACUCAUAAAUUCUAUUUGUGGAAAUUGUAAUUACUUUAAAAGUGUUUCAUAUGUAUUUUUCACCGUAUUAUAUAGUGAAAAUUUAAACAUUGUUUUAGUUUUUAGAAACCUUUUAUAAUUAAUUGAAUUUUCUCAGUGGCAUAAUACAGUAUUAAUCAUUCUCCACAAGUUGGGUCUAUCUGGAAACUCAAGUUAUGGUUGGAUGAUAUCCCUUUUUUACUGACCAUUUAUUUUGGCCUGCCUUACAGCCGUCUUCUCUGAACAAUGCUCUAACAACGUCCAGGGUAUUUUGAUCUUUGGUGAAUGUAUUCCCCCAAAACAUUUAUUCUUUUGUCCUUAGGCACUGAACUCUUAAUCUUACUCCAUAUGCUGUACUUUGAAAUGCAUGUUUUAAAUAUGUUGUCGUUAUGUUUACUCUUAUUCACUUUAACAUCUCAGUUUAUUCAUCUUAUUAUCUGACUUUCUGGUGUCUAAUAGUCACAAAUAUCUUUGGUGUUUCACUAUUGCCGUUUUAAGCAAUGUAGUGAUAAAAUACAGAAUAAUAGUGUUUUUCAAAAUUUGAUAGUUUUCAUAUACUUCCUAAUUUUUUUAUAAACUAGUAAAAAAGUAAAAUCAAGAGGGAAGAGAUUUGUAAUGCUUCUUUUAAGUCAUUAUUUAGACCAUUUUACUAUUUGGAGACGUGUUUUUUAUUCUACAUGAUUUUUACAGUUGGGGUGUCGACAACUUAACAUUUUUUGAGCCUCUAUGUUUAGAAAAUGAUUACUUUACUCUUGCAAGUAUCUUCUAAACUCUUAUCAUUCAAUCCUUUGUUCAUGAGUUGGAAUCUUCUCAAUAAUAUUCCACAUUAAAGUGAUAUUUAAUAUGACUUAGAAAAAUGUUUUCAUCAGAAAAACUAUACAUGGUAAUUUCAUUCUUGCAAACCAAACAUAAUUUAUAAAUCUUUAUUAUACAGAAUAUUUGGGAUUAUCAUGGCCCAUUAGUUUGUGUAAAAAUAUUUAGCUUUAUGGGAUAAAUCUUUGAAAAAUCCAAGAUACUUUAUUUUGAUGUCUUUCAAUGUUUUCUUUCUUUUCUUUCCUCUUGUCUUUUUACUUUUGCUUCUUGUGACUGUUCCACCUGCCUUGAUAUUAAAUACCCAUUAGACUUUGAGCAUGUUGCUUUGGAGGAAAUGGUGGAACUUGAUGGAAGGGAAUGAAGGAUUUCUGGGACUCUGAAUUCUUACAGUUUGUUAUUAGCAUUAUUUUAAAUCUUUUAAUCCCUUAAGAACCAAUAAUGUAAUCAUUUAUGGGCAUGUUUUAUCCCCUUUGUCCACCUGAAGGUAACCUCAAAGCAGAAUUAUUUUGUAGUUGAUUUUAAUGUUCUCUUAAUGCCUGUCCAUGUUUAACAUUUUAUUUGACUAUUAGAACACAUUACAUAAAAGCAAAUUGUUUUCAUUUUAGUCCUUUAAGGACUUUAAAAAAUAUGCUUAUCUUUAUUAUCCUGUUUGAAUAGUAUGUGGAGUUUUUCCUUUGUGUAAGUAAUAUUUCCCAUCCUGUCUAUGUCUACCUGGUUCUCAGGUAUUACUUUAAUUACUGAAUUCUCCUAAACAUUUAAUUGACUUUUACAAAAUAUCAUAAAUAAAAGGAUUCUUUCCGCCACCUAGCAUUGUAUUUGGCAACUUAUCAUUUAAGUCAUUUUAGUUCUGUGUUUCUUCAAAUAUCUCUCUAAUUGAUAUUUGAAUUUGGGGUUGUGCUUUCACAAUGAGAAAGUCUAAACCUGUUUCUUGUACAUUAAUACUUUUCACUAUUCUAAUUAUGGUGAUGCUUUUAGCUAUUAAGUAUUUCUGGGAUUGAAAUGUGCCAGAAGUUAGUUAUUAAGUAUUGUGGAUUCUGAAGCUCUCUAAAUCAAGUCCUCCCUUUACCAAUUUUUGUAUAUGUAGUCUUUGGUAAAGGAUUUGUUAUUCAGUUCCUUGGCUUUAUAUGUAUGCAUGAUAAAUGUGAAUUCUACUGCAUAUACUUUUUGUAUCAAGUAAGUUAAUAGUUAUAAAUUAUCAAGAAUAAAGUCUGGCAAGUGAUAGGUACAUAAUAAAAUUUAGUUAUCAUUCUUAAAAGAAAAGAAGUUAGUGAUUGCAAGAAGGAAACCUAAAAUGUCAGAAAGUCAUUAUGACCGUCCAUACUAACCUUAUUUUUAUGUAAAAUUAUCUUUUAUAAAGUCAUUUUUAGAUUAACCUAGGAUGUUUCAAUACUUUGAGUGUUGUGUGGUGGAAUGAAAAAAAUCUAAAGGUUAUUAUGGGUUUAGGAAAGUCAAGUUAAUACCACCUAUGUGGAAAAAAACUUUCUGGAAUGGUUAAAGUCCUUCCAAGGAAUGUGUAGACUAUCUUACAUUGGUAGCUGUAUGUUUCCCAUAUUUAAAAGUUGCCUGAGACCUUGCAGAGGGCUGAGUAUGUGUUUGAGAUCUUUGUAUGUUUCUUUCCAUUAAUAGUAUUUUUCUUAAAAAGAAGUAUACGAUAAUAUUUUGAUGAUGAUUUGAAGUCAAUUUAUGUUGUAGUUCUAUGAAUUAAGUAGACCAUUUAUGUAGAGUGUUGUAGA
Molecule: non-coding RNA, 6688 nt
Organism: Macaca mulatta (Rhesus monkey)
Lineage: Eukaryota; Metazoa; Chordata; Mammalia; Primates; Cercopithecidae
Source: RefSeq, a predicted model, not a curated record